This 465-nucleotide ribosomal RNA is filed under the name Vreelandella stevensii. RNAcentral describes it as "partial 16S ribosomal RNA". It matches the Rfam family "Bacterial small subunit ribosomal RNA", at positions 338 to 795 of the family's 1533-position model. Lineage: Bacteria; Pseudomonadati; Pseudomonadota; Gammaproteobacteria; Oceanospirillales; Halomonadaceae. The record is from RNAcentral.
CCUACGGGGGGCUGCAGUGGGGAAUAUUGGACAAUGGGGGCAACCCUGAUCCAGCCAUGCCGCGUGUGUGAAGAAGGCCCUCGGGUUGUAAAGCACUUUCAGUGAGGAAGAACGCCUGGUGGUUAAUACCCAUCAGGAAAGACAUCACUCACAGAAGAAGCACCGGCUAACUCCGUGCCAGCAGCCGCGGUAAUACGGAGGGUGCGAGCGUUAAUCGGAAUUACUGGGCGUAAAGCGCGCGUAGGUGGCUUGAUAAGCCGGUUGUGAAAGCCCCGGGCUCAACCUGGGAACGGCAUCCGGAACUGUCCAGCUAGAGUGACGGAGAGGAAGGUAGAAUUCCCGGUGUAGCGGUGAAAUGCGUAGAGAUCGGGAGGAAUACCAGUGGCGAAGGCGGCCUUCUGGACUGACACUGACACUGAGGUGCGAAGGCGUGGGUAGCAAACAGGAUUAGAUACCCUUGUAGUC